CGCGAAAGUAGUUGAGCUAAAUAAUUAUAAUUAUUAGAUUAGCAUAUGUAGCAUAAUAAAGUUAAAUAAUUACUUAGGGGUGAUAGGCUUGUCAAAUCUACAGAUAUCUCGAUACGUUUUAAAAACAUUAAGUGUUUUUCUCAAUCAAUUAGUGAUAAGGCUAUUUGAAAUCAUGAAAUAAGAUAUUAUAUUAUAUCUUGACUUAACCGUCAGAUAUUCUUUAAAAUACUAUUUUUGUACUUUACAUUAUGUAAAUAAAAAAGUAACGUCCUAAUUAAAUAAAUUGUUUAAAAUGUCACUAUUAGUAAACUGAUAGGUAUUAAAAAUGAACUCGGCAAAUUAUCCUUCAACUGUUUAUCAAAAACAUAGCUAUGUGAAAUCACUCAUAGUAAUUUCUGCUCAAUGAACAGUUAAAUAGCCGCAGUACCCUGACUGUGCAAAGGUAGCGUAAUAAUUUGGCUUUUAAUUGAAGUCCUGUAUGAACGAAAUAUUGGAGGAUAUCUUUAUUCUUGAUAUUGAUUGAAAUUACUUAUUAAGUGCAAAUACUUAAAUAUAAAUGAUAGACGAGAAGACCCUAGAAAUUUUAAUUAAAUAAACUUAAACUUUUUGUUGGGGCAACAAGGUAACAUUAAAUUUACCGUUUUGUACAUGAACAUUUUAUGUGAAAGGUUAAAUUACUCUAGGGAUAACAGCGUUAUUUUAAAAAGUUUGCGACCUCGAUGUUGGACUAGGAAAUUUUUGCUUAGAA
RNAcentral lists this ribosomal RNA (748 nucleotides) under Ordtrachia australis. RNAcentral's name for it is "partial 16S ribosomal RNA". The stretch from base 345 to 497 matches the Rfam family "Archaeal large subunit ribosomal RNA", at positions 1886 to 2087 of the family's 2987-position model. The record is from RNAcentral. Lineage: Eukaryota; Metazoa; Mollusca; Gastropoda; Stylommatophora; Camaenidae.